GUGGAUUAGAUACCCUGGUAGUCCAUGCCGUAAACGAUGAGUGCUAGGUGUUGGAGGGUUUCCGCCCUUCAGUGCCGGAGCUAACGCAUUAAGCACUCCGCCUGGGGAGUACGACCGCAAGGUUGAAACUCAAAGGAAUUGACGGGGGCCCGCACAAGCGGUGGAGCAUGUGGUUUAAUUCGAAGCUACGCGAAGAACCUUACCAGGUCUUGACAUCUUGCGCUAACCUUAGAGAUAAGGCGUUCCCUUCGGGGACGCAAUGACAGGUGGUGCAUGGCCGUCGACAACU
RNAcentral lists this ribosomal RNA (289 nucleotides) under uncultured bacterium. Its description in RNAcentral is "partial 16S ribosomal RNA". It matches the Rfam family "Bacterial small subunit ribosomal RNA", at positions 773 to 1060 of the family's 1533-position model. The record is from RNAcentral.